GCGCAGCGCUGUUUCGUGGGACCAGGAUUGAAACAAGAUGGCGGGCUCGUGGUGAGAAGCCGUCAAGGAGUAGAAAUUGGUAUUUUUAGAAGCAGAUUCUAAAAGCAGUUUCUCUUCGAAACAUCUUUUUUCAUACCACUUGAUAAGCAUCUUGAAACACCAUGGCUGUAACUGCAGUAAAAUGGGUGAUGUCAAAGAGAACUAUCUUGAAACAUUUAUUUCCAGUCCAAAAUGGAGCUUUAUAUUGUGUUUGUCGUAAAUCUACGUAUUCUCCUCUACCAGAUGACUAUAAUUGCAACGUAGAGCUUGCUCUGACUUCUGAUGGCAGGACAAUAGUAUGCUACCACCCUUCUGUGGACAUUCCAUAUGAACACACAAAACCUAUCCCUCGGCCAGAUCCUGUGCAUAAUAAUGAAGAAACACAUGAUCAAGUGCUGAAAACCAGAUUGGAAGAAAAAGUUGAACACCUUGAGGAAGGACCUAUGAUAGAACAACUUAGCAAAAUGUUCUUUACUACUAAGCACCGUUGGUAUCCUCAUGGACGGUAAGUUUUCUUUUCUUUUCUUCAAUCUCUACUACAUAGAGUAAAGGAACACAUGGAUUUUCUUGCAAUAACAAACUUCUGAAGUGGUGUUUUGCAUGAGGAAAUUAACCCCAAGUAGAAUCACCUACUAUGUUGUACUUUUUUUUUCUUUCCUGAGACAGGAUCUCGCUGUGUCACCCAGGCUGGAGUGCAGUGCCACAGUCUCAGCUCACUGCAGCCUCAACUUCCAGUGCUCAAGUGAUCUUCACACUUUAGCCUUCCGAGUAGCUAGUACUACAGGCAUUUACCACCACACCCGGCUAAUUUUUGUAUUUUUAGUAAAGGCAGGAUUUCGCCAUGUUGGCCAGGCUGGUCUUGAACUCCUGACCUCAAGCGAUCCACCCACCUCGGGCUCCCAAAGUGCUAAGAUUACAAGCAUGAGCCACCACGCCCAGACAACAUCCUUAACAAAGAGAAAAUACUCCAGAGAAGAUUUAACCAAAAAAAGUCACCUAAAAAUGUAAAUAUAACAUUAACAGAUACCUAAUAAACUAUAAUUAUAUGCAGUUGUGCUAAGAGGGACAGUAGAUACUCAAAGUGAAUAUAAAAAAGUAAAAUGUCAUGAAGAAAGUAAGAUAAGAGCAAAUAGCAGAGGAAGAGUAAAAGUGCUGAAAACUGAGGGAUAAAGCAUUUGAAAUAGCUUGAUGUUGAAAUGAGAUAGGGCACUGAGGUCAGAUUAGGUAAAAAAAAAAAAAAAAAAAAAAGGCAAGCUCCAACUAUAUGCUGCCUAUAAGAAAUCCACUUUAAAAAUAAAGACAGCCAGGUUAAAAGUAAUACAGAAAUGACAAAGGUGACAUCACAACCAAUCCCAGAGAAAUACAACAGAUUCUCAGAGACUAUUUUUUUGGGGGGGGGUUUGGGGGCGGGUGGGGACGGAGUUCUGCUCUUGUCCCCCAGCCUGGAGUGCAAUGGCACAAUCUAGGCUCACUGUAACCUCCGUCUCCCAGGUUCAAGUGAUUCCUCAGAGACUAUUAUUAGGAACACUUCAAGCACACAACUAGAAAAUCUAGAGGCAAUGGACAAAUUCCUGAAGACAUACAACCUCGCAUGUUUGAAUCAGGAAGAAACUGAAACCCUGAACAGAUGAAUAAUGAAUUCUGAAACUGAAUCAGUAAUAAAAAAACAACAACCAAAAAGCUCUGGACCAGACAGAUCCACAGCUGAAUUCUACCAGAUGUGCAAAGAGCCAGUACCAAUCCUACUGAAACUAUUCCCCCAACAACAACAACAACAAAAAAUCGAGGAGGAAGGACUCCUCCCCAACUCAUUCUACAAAAACGGCAUCAUCCUGAUACCCAAAUCUGACAGAGACAUAACAAAAAAACAAAACUAUGGGCCAGUAUCCCUGAUAAACAUGGAUGCUAAAAUCCUCAACAAAAUACGAGCAAACCAAAUCUAGCAGCACAUCAAAAAAUUAAUUCACCAUGAUCAAGCAGGCUUUCUGCCUGAGAUGCAAGGCUGAUUCAAGAUACGCAAAUAAAUAAAUGUGAUACAUCACAUAAACAGAAUUAAAAACAAAAAACAUAUGAUCAUUUCAGUAAACACAGAAAAAAACUUUCAAUAAAAUCCAACAUCCCUUCAUGAUGAAAAUCCUCAACAAACUAGGCAUUGAGGGAACAUACUCCAAAAUAAUAAGAGCCAUUUAUGACAAACCCACAGCCAACAUACUGAACAAGCAAAAGCUGAGAUCAUUUCCUUUAAGAACAGAAACAAGACAAGGAUGCCCACUCUCACUACUCCUAUUCAACAUAGUACUGGGGAAGUCCUAGCCAGAGCAAUCAGGCAAGAAAAAAAAAAAAAAGGCGUCCACUCAGGAAAAGAAAAAGUCAAAUAAUCUCUCUUCACUGGUUCUUGUAAUUUUUCUGUUGAAAAUCCUCAAAUAACUUCCUAUCUCACUCAGAAACACUCUAGGCCUACAACUACCUACAUGAUUUGGUCCUGCAUUACUUCUCUGCUCUCAUGCCCUACUGUCUUUUCCUUGUUCAUGUAUUCUGGCUACAUGGCCUCUUUUUUGCUUUUGAACAUGUCCUUCCCUCCACCUCAGGGCUUUUAUACUUGCUGUUUGUCUGCAUAGAACACUCUUUCUCACAGUUAUCAGUAAAGCUAGCUCUCUUCCUUCCUUCAGGUUUUUACUCAAUGAAGGCUUCCCUGACCAGCUUAUUCAUCUUAUUUUCCUAUCUCCUGUAUUGGAAUGUAAGAUCCAUGAAAGUCGGGAUUUUUAUCUUGUUUUGUGUACUACAGAAUCAUUAGGAUCUACACAUAGUAGGUGCUCACACAUUUUAAAAUGGAUAAAUGAUUCUGAUUCUCAUAAUAACUUUUUUUUUUUUUUUUUUUUCUUUUGAGACAGGGUCUUGCCCUGUCACCCAAACUGGAAUGCAGUGACCUGAUCUCGGCUCACUACAACCUUCGCCUCCCAGGUUCAAGAGAUUCUCCUGCCUCAGCCUCCUGAGUAGCUGGGACUACAGAUGCAUACCACCAUGCCUGGCUACUUUUUAAAUUUUUUGUAGAGAUGCGGUUUCACCAUGUUGCCCAGGCUGGUCUCAAACUCCUGGGCUCAAUUGAUCUGCCCACCUUGGCCUACCAGAGUGCUGGAAUUACAGGGAUGAGCCACUGUGCCCAGCCCCCACGAUUUUUAGAAAUUAGCUGGGCAUGGUGGUGCAUGCCUGUAGUCCUACCUACUCAGAAGACUGAGAUGGGAGGAUCACUUGAGCCCAGGAGCUUGAGGGUGCAAUGAGCUAUGAUUGUGUCAUUACACUCCAUCCUGGGUGUUAGAGCAAGACCGUGACUCUAAGAAAGAAAGGAGGAGAGAAAAAGAGAGGGGGUGGGGGGAGGGAGGGAGGCAGGCAGGCAGGCAGGAAGGAGAAAAUAAUUCUAAAUUUCUGAAAUAUAGGGCAAUCUUACAAAUGCAUGAAUAAUAGUACCACUUUAUUUAAGAAACUACUUUAAUAUUUUCCCAUGGAGACAACAAAAAUUAGCUACUUCCAUCAGUAGGAAACAGAUUUGAUUACCUAGCUUAGUAUGAACCAGGAGGUAAAAGUUUUCUGGGUUAAGAGCUGUAGACCAGUGUUCCAGAUGUCACUGAGUCAUUGUGUAAUCUAAGAAGUGUAACAAUAUAACUUGGUUUGCCAGGAGCAAUCUCAAUUUAACUCUUAUAUUAAUUAAUAGUGUCUGCAAGGUUCCCAAUCUGGAUGAUAGAAUAAGGUCAUCGUAAAAUUAAGGUGCUUGCUUUUGGCUAGUGAUUGUAGUGCACAUUAAAAAUCAUGCAUGAUAAGAUAUGUGUAAAUGCUAUUUGACAUUUAUUGAGCAUAUUUUAGAACUUGACUUUGUUCAGUUUAUGGCUAUCAGAGUCUCAAACAUUUUCAGUCUUGAGUAGUAAAUAUAGUUGAACAGUGUAUGCUGAAUGACACUUUUAAUGGAUAGUUCUUAGCAUUCUGAAGGUCUCAUACUUCAUUGAGAGUCUGAUAAAAGUUUUGAAUGCACUGCCCAGAAAAACACCUAUUCAAAAUUUUUACAAAUAAUUUCAAGAGGUUAGUGACUUCCCAAACUCCUUCUAGAACCGCUAUUCUGAUGACCGUUCUCCCUGCUUUGAGAGAAUGCCUUUCAGAGACACUAUUGUACUAGUACAACCUUGAUUAUCUGGUAUGUCAAUGGAACCUUUUAGAAAAAAACAGAAUUUUCUCUAUGCCAACAUAAGUACAUGUAGAAAUGUUUAUGCAGAUGGUAUUUUACUGUGUGUAUUUUUUGACAGCUUACUGUUCCAUGUUAGUAUAGACAGCUGUACUUCAUUCAUUUCAACUUAAUUCCUGUAUUUUGCAAAUUUUCAAAAAUAAAAUCAGUGUAUCAGGAAGUUGCCUAUAUGAAACCUGAAGCAAAAAAAUGCUUUAGAUAUCUUAAUCACAACAACUAAAGAUCACAGGGUACAUGUCUUACCAUUUAUAGUAUAAAACUGAAUUUCCACAUUAGCAAAAAAUUGAAAACAAAAAUUAACUUGUGACCAACUUGCCAAAAUCUGACCAGAAGGAAAUUUUUGAAGGUAACUCAUCACAAAAACACAUGUACUCUGUGCAGAAAUGUUUCUUAAAUCAGUAAAGAAAAUAAGGAAAUGCAGAGGAGCAAAAAGAAUUCUCCAUGGUGAAAUCUCUCAAAAACUAUCACUGCUGACAAUGCAUUUCAUUUCUCUAUAUCUAUACAUAAGUUUUGUUAGUUUGCCUAUUUUUACAUGGUUAUCAUCAUACUGUAUAUGUAAAUUUUCUCCUGUGUUCUUCCUUAAUAUUUUAACUACUUUUUCUAUAUUCCUUUGGGACAGAGUGCUAGAAGAGGAAUUAUUAGGUCAAAAAUUAUGAAUAUUUCUUGAUACAUCUUACCAUACUGCUUUUCAAAAGUAUUUUGAAGUAAAAGUUUAUACUUUUAACCAGUCGGGUCUCAUACUGCUAAUUUCACCACACCUGUGCUUGGAUUGGGCAUUAUGAUUUUUAACAUGUUUGUGAUCUCAAAAACAAAAGGUUCCUCACUGUUCUGAUUUGCAGUCCCUCCAUUUUGCAUGACAUUACACAUUUUUCCACAGACAUAUUACUAGUUUUAUUUUAUAUUAAAACAUGAUUUUGCAUUUAUAGAGACCUCCAUUUAGAGGACAAUAGCCCCUUGUAAAUAAAACUUUUAACAGAACACGUUCAUGUUCACGAUGUGAUGUUUCUUUAUGUUUUGGAAGCCUAAAUGUCACCAGAUGUGAUAUUUCUUCACUACUAAGACAAAAAACCAUUAGUUUUUAUCAAAAUCAGUCAUCUGGGUUACCAUGUUGAAAUUAUCCUCAAGAUAUGAAAGAAAACUGUUUCAAAUGCUUAAUUUAAUUAAUAGUCAACAACUUAGCCACGUGUGGUGGUGUGCCUGUAGUCCCAGCUACUAGGCAGGGUAAGGUAGGAGGAGCCCUUGUGCCAGGAGUUUGAGGCUGUAGUACACUAUUAUUGAGCUUAUGAAUAACCUCUGCACUUCAGCCUGGGCAAUAAAGCAAGACCCAGUCUCUAGAAAAAAAAAAUGAUUAGGUAAAGAAAAGAAAACAAAUUUUCACAAUGGGAGAAUGUGGUUUAUUACUAAGAAAUGACUGAUACGUAGUUUCAUUGAUUUUUUAAAAAAAUAGUUCCAAUAGCAAAAUAAUCAUAGAAGUUAGAUUUUUAUCAGGAAUAAUUUUUAUUAA
This is an RNA transcript of Pan troglodytes (chimpanzee), 5774 nucleotides long. It is a transcript of the gene named mitochondrial ribosomal protein L42, with no coding region annotated. The transcript has 6 exons. Lineage: Eukaryota; Metazoa; Chordata; Mammalia; Primates; Hominidae. The record is from RefSeq and is a predicted model, not a curated record.